UUGGAGGGCAAGUCUGGUGCCAGCAGCCGCGGUAAUUCCAGCUCCAAUAGCGUAUAUUAAAGUUGUUGCAGUUAAAAAGCUCGUAGUUGAAUUUCGGGAUUGACGUGAUGGUCAUGCCUUAAGGGGUAUGAACUGUCACUGUUGAUUUCUCACCUUCUGGAGAGACUUGAUGUCCUUUAUUGGGUGUCUUGCGGAUCCAGGACCUUUACCUUGAAAAAAUUAGAGUGUUUAAAGCAGGCAUUUUUGCUCGAAUACAUUAGCAUGGAAUAAUAGAAUAGGACGGCAUGGUUCUAUUUUGUUGGUUUCUAGGAUCACCGUAAUGAUUAAUAGGGAUAGUUGGGGGCAUUAGUAUUCAAUUGUCAGAGGUGAAAUUCUUGGAUUUAUUGAAGACUAACUACUGCGAAAGCAUUUGCCAAGGAUGUUUUCAUUAAUCAAGAACGAAAGUUAGGGGAUCGAAGACGAUCAGAUACCGUCGUAGUCUUAACCAUAAACUAUGCCGACUAGGAAUCAGACGAUGUUAAUUUUUUAAUGACUCGUUUGGCACCUUACGGGAAACCAAAGUGUUUGGGUUC
This 572-nucleotide ribosomal RNA is filed under the name uncultured Glomeromycotina. RNAcentral's name for it is "SSU rRNA". It matches the Rfam family "Eukaryotic small subunit ribosomal RNA", at positions 548 to 1114 of the family's 1831-position model. Lineage: Eukaryota; Fungi; Glomeromycota. The record is from RNAcentral.